GAUUGUUAACAUGGUAUCAGAGCAGGUAUGUUCUGGUUCUACUCGUCGUGAGCGUUCGAUCGGUGUUACCCUCGACCGUUUCCAUCCAUGUUUCUGUUGAUUCUCAGAAAUUAGGGUUUUUCGAUUCGGUUAGUUCUUCGUAAAUCCUUCAUAUUUUCUGUUGUAAAGCUUGUUUCCUGUUGUGUAAACAUCAUAGAAUGUAUUUUUUUUGUUUUUGACUAGUUACUGUGAUAGUCGUUUUGUUGUAGUUACGAUUUGUUUGGUUUGUUGAGUUUUAAACAUCAUCAGUGGCCAAAAUGGUGGAAAAUGAUGAUGAUUCUGCCUCUGCACCUACUACUUUUGUUCCUAGUCCC
This 353-nucleotide long non-coding RNA is filed under the name Nicotiana benthamiana. Its description in RNAcentral is "long non-coding RNA (NBEN_LNC001998)". The record is from RNAcentral. Lineage: Eukaryota; Viridiplantae; Streptophyta; Magnoliopsida; Solanales; Solanaceae.